AAGAGCUCAGAUUUGAAAUCGUGCUUUGCGGCACGAGUUGUAGAUUGCAGGUUGGAGUCUGUGUGGAAGGCGGUGUCCAAGUCCCUUGGAACAGGGCGCCCAGGAGGGUGAGAGCCCCGUGGGAUGCCGGCGGAAGCAGUGAGGCCCUUCUGACGAAUCGAGUUGUUUGGGAAUGCAGCUCCAAGCGGGUGGUAAAUUCCAUCUAAGGCUAAAUACUGGCGAGAGACCGAUAGCGAACAAGUACUGUGAAGGAAAGAUGAAAAGCACUUUGAAAAGAGAGUGAAACAGCACGUGAAAUUGUUGAAAGGGAAGGGUAUUGCGCCCGACAUGGGGAUUGCGCACCGCUGCCUCUCGUGGGCGGCGCUCUGGGCUUUCCCUGGGCCAGCAUCGGUUCUUGCUGCAGGAGAAGGGGUUCUGGAACGUGGCUCUUCGGAGUGUUAUAGCCAGGGCCAGAUGCUGCGUGCGGGGACCGAGGACUGCGGCCGUGUAGGUCACGGAUGCUGGCAGAACGGCGCAACACCGCCCGUCUUGAAACACGGACC
This 542-nucleotide ribosomal RNA is filed under the name Pichia kudriavzevii. Its description in RNAcentral is "eukaryotic LSU rRNA". It matches the Rfam family "Eukaryotic large subunit ribosomal RNA", at positions 103 to 667 of the family's 3401-position model. The record is from RNAcentral. Lineage: Eukaryota; Fungi; Ascomycota; Pichiomycetes; Pichiales; Pichiaceae.